Molecule: long non-coding RNA, 332 nt
Filed under: Phasianus colchicus (ring-necked pheasant)
Lineage: Eukaryota; Metazoa; Chordata; Aves; Galliformes; Phasianidae
Description: lncRNA (ENSPCLG00000000242.1)
Source: RNAcentral
GUGCAGCCUGAAUCUGUAGGGAUGCAAAUUCCCACCUGUAACUUGUUUGCAUCCAAGGGGGAGUGAGUUGGUCUCCUUGUUCCUAUGGCAGCUAUGGGCCCCUAUGCUUGGGUGGUCCUCCAGAAGCACUGAUACAGAGCCUGAAGGGAAGCUCCAAUCUGUGAUCCACAAGUGCCUCCAGCCUGGCAGGACCUGGUUCUUCUGCACAGUAAAAUAAUAAAAAGACACAAGACUCGUUCUGCCUCUGCCCAGAAGCAGCAGCAGCCCCACAGCCUCACUCUGGAUGCCAUCAUCUACCAGCAGCAUCUUGGCUGGAGCACACAGUGCAAUCA